RNAcentral lists this ribosomal RNA (253 nucleotides) under uncultured bacterium. RNAcentral's name for it is "partial 16S ribosomal RNA". It matches the Rfam family "Bacterial small subunit ribosomal RNA", at positions 524 to 776 of the family's 1533-position model. The record is from RNAcentral.
UACGUAGGGUGCGAGCGUUGUCCGGAUUUAUUGGGCGUAAAGAGCUCGUAGGCGGUUUGUCGCGUCGGCCGUGAAAGUCCGGGGCUCAACUCCGGAUCUGCGGUGGGUACGGGCAGACUAGAGUGAUGUAGGGGAGACUGGAAUUCCUGGUGUAGCGGUGAAAUGCGCAGAUAUCAGGAGGAACACCGGUGGCGAAGGCGGUUCUCUGGGCAUUACCUGACGCUGAGGAGCGAAAGUGUGGGGAGCGAACAGG